Molecule: ribosomal RNA, 305 nt
Filed under: uncultured bacterium
Lineage: Bacteria
Description: bacterial SSU rRNA
Rfam family: Bacterial small subunit ribosomal RNA
Source: RNAcentral
CCUACGGGGGGCAGCAGUAGGGAAUAUUGCUCAAUGGGGGAAACCCUGAAGCAGCAACGCCGCGUGGAGGAAGAAGGUUUUCGGAAUGUAAAGUCCUAUUGGUAGAGAAGAUAAUGACGGUAUCUAACGAAUAAGCACCGGCUAACUCCGUGCCAGCAGCCGCGGUAAUACGGAGGGUGCAAGCGUUAUUCGGAAUCACUGGGCGUAAAGAGCGCGUAGGCGGGAUAGCAAGUCAGAAGGGAAAUGCUAGGGCUUAACCAUAGAACUGCAUUUGAAACUGUGAUGCUAGAGUAUGGGAGAGGUAG